GAUGAACGCUGGCGGCGUGCUUAACACAUGCAAGUCGAACGGAAAGGCCACAGCUUGCUGUGGUACUCGAGUGGCGAACGGGUGAGUAUCACGUGGGUGAUCUGCCCUGUACUUCGGGAUAAGCUUGGGAAGCUGGGUCUAAUAUCGGAUAGGAAUCACAUGUGGGUGUGUGGUUGGAAAGCUUUUGCGGUAUGGGUUGAGCUCGCGGCCUAUCAGCUUGUUGGUGGGGUAUUGGCCUACCAAGGCGUCGCCGGGUAGCCGGCCUGAGAGGGUGUACGGCCACAAUGGGACUGAGAUACGGCCCAGACUCCUACGGGAGGCAGCAGUGGGGAAUAUUGCACAAUGGGCGGAAGCCUGAUACAGCGACGCCGCGUGGGGGAUGACGGCCUUCGGGUUGUAAACUCCUUUCGUCAGGGACGAAGCGAAAGUGACGGUACCUAGAGAAGAAGCACCGGCUAACUACGUG
RNAcentral lists this ribosomal RNA (466 nucleotides) under uncultured bacterium. Its description in RNAcentral is "partial 16S ribosomal RNA". It matches the Rfam family "Bacterial small subunit ribosomal RNA", at positions 28 to 507 of the family's 1533-position model. The record is from RNAcentral.